GCAUCUUUAGCUGAAUUGGUAUAGCAACUGCCUUCGAAGCAGUCUGGUAUUGGUUCAAAUCCAAUAAGAUGUU
Rhizoctonia solani AG-1 IA is the source of this 73-nucleotide transfer RNA. It matches the Rfam family "tRNA". From Rfam's summary of the family: Transfer RNA (tRNA) molecules are approximately 80 nucleotides in length. Their secondary structure includes four short double-helical elements and three loops (D, anti-codon, and T loops). NCBI's taxonomy places the organism in Eukaryota, Fungi, Basidiomycota, Agaricomycetes, Cantharellales, Ceratobasidiaceae. The record is from Rfam.